Molecule: ribosomal RNA, 391 nt
Filed under: uncultured bacterium
Lineage: Bacteria
Description: partial 16S ribosomal RNA
Rfam family: Bacterial small subunit ribosomal RNA
Source: RNAcentral
AUACGGAGGAUCCGAGCGUUAUCCGGAUUUAUUGGGUUUAAAGGGUGCGCAGGCGGCCAUUUAAGUCAGCGGUUAAAUCGCGGGGCUCAACCCCAUUCUGCCGUUGAUACUGGGUGGCUUGAUUGCGGUCGAGGUUGGCGGAAUUCGUUGUGUAGCGGUGAAAUGCAUAGAUAUGACGAAGAACACCGAUUGCGUAGGCAGCUGACCAGAUCGCAAAUGACGCUCAUGCACGAAAGUGCGGGGAUCGAACAGGAUUAGAUACCCUGGUAGUCCGCACAGUAAACGAUGAAUACUUGUUUUCGGCGAUAUAAUGUCGGAGGCAAAGCGAAAGCGAUAAGUAUUCCACCUGGGGAGUACGCCGGCAACGGUGAAACUCAAAGGAAUUGACGGG